This 980-nucleotide ribosomal RNA is filed under the name uncultured Richelia sp. Its description in RNAcentral is "bacterial SSU rRNA". It matches the Rfam family "Bacterial small subunit ribosomal RNA", at positions 42 to 1065 of the family's 1533-position model. The record is from RNAcentral. Lineage: Bacteria; Bacillati; Cyanobacteriota; Cyanophyceae; Nostocales; Nostocaceae.
GUAUGCAUUACACAUGCAAGUCGAACGGACUCUUCGGAGUUAGUGGCGGACGGGUGAGUAACACGUGAGAAUCUGGCUCUAGGUCGGGGACAACAGUUGGAAACGACUGCUAAUACCGGAUAUGCCGAAAGGUGAAAGAUUUAUUGCCGAGAGAUGAGCUCGCGUCUGAUUAGUUAGUUGGUGGGGUAAUAGCCUACCAAGACAUCGAUCAGUAGCUGGUCUGAGAGGAUGAUCAGCCACACUGGGACUGAGACACGGCCCAGACUCCUACGGGAGGCAGCAGUGGGGAAUUUUCCGCAAUGGGCGAAAGCCUGACGGAGCAAUACCGCGUGAGGGAGGAAGGCUUUUGGGUUGUAAACCUCUUUUCUUAAGGAAGAAUACAAUGACGGUACUUAAGGAAUAAGCAUCGGCUAACUCCGUGCCAGCAGCCGCGGUAAUACGGAGGAUGCAAGCGUUAUCCGGAAUAAUUGGGCGUAAAGCGUCCGCAGGUGGUUUUGUAAGUCUGCUGUUAAAGCGUGAGGCUUAACCUCAUAACGGCGGUGGAAACUACAAGACUUGAGUGCGUUCGGGGCAGAGGGAAUUCCUGGUGUAGCGGUGAAAUGCGUAGAUAUCAGGAAGAACACCGGUGGCGAAAGCGCUCUGCUAGGCCGUAACUAACACACAGGGACGAAAGCUAGGGGAGCGAAUGGGAUUAGAUACCCCAGUAGUCCUAGCCGUAAACGAUGGAUACUAGGCGUUGUCUGUAUCGACCCGGACAGUGCCGUAGCUAACGCGUUAAGUAUCCCGCCUGGGGAGUACGCACGCAAGUGUGAAACUCAAAGGAAUUGACGGGGGCCCGCACAAGCGGUGGAGUAUGUGGUUUAAUUCGAUGCAACGCGAAGAACCUUACCAGGGUUUGACAUGUCGCGAACUUCCUGGAAACGGGAAGGUGCCUUCGGGAGCGCGAACACAGGUGGUGCAUGGCUGUCGUCAGCUCGUGU